UACGUAGGGACCAAGCGUUGUUCGGAUUUACUGGGCGUAAAGGGCGCGUAGGCGGCAAUUCAAGUCAUCUGUGAAAUCUCCGAGCUUAACUCGGAACGGUCAGAUGAUACUGUUUUGCUAGAGUACAGAAGGGGCAAUCGGAAUUCUUGGUGUAGCGGUGAAAUGCGUAGAUAUCAAGAGGAACACCUGAGGUGAAGACGGGUUGCUGGGCUGAUACUGACGCUGAGGCGCGAAAGCUAGGGUAGCAAACGGGAUUAGAUACCGUCGUGUCA
RNAcentral lists this ribosomal RNA (272 nucleotides) under uncultured bacterium. RNAcentral's name for it is "partial 16S ribosomal RNA". It matches the Rfam family "Bacterial small subunit ribosomal RNA", at positions 524 to 796 of the family's 1533-position model. The record is from RNAcentral.